GCGUUGUUCGGAAUUACUGGGCGUAAAGGGCUCGUAGGUGGCCAACUAAGUCAGACGUGAAAUCCCUCGGCUUAACCGGGGAACUGCGUCUGAUACUGGACGGCUUGAGUUCGGGAGGGGGAUGCGGAAUUCCAGGUGUAGCGGUGAAAUGCGUAGAUAUCUGGAGGAACACCGGUGGCGAAGGCGGCAUCCUGGACCGACACUGACACUGAGGAGCGAAAGCCAG
Molecule: ribosomal RNA, 226 nt
Filed under: uncultured bacterium
Lineage: Bacteria
Description: partial 16S ribosomal RNA
Rfam family: Bacterial small subunit ribosomal RNA
Source: RNAcentral